GACGAACGCUGGCGGCGUGCUUAACACAUGCCAGUCGAACGGAAAGGCCCUGCUUGCCGGGUCCUCGGGUGGCGAACGGGUGAGUAACGCGUGGGUGAUCUGCCCUGCACUUCGGGAUAAGCCUGGGAAACUGGGUCUAAUACCGGAUAGGAGCCAUUUUUAGUGUGAUGGUUGGAAAGUUUUUUCGGUGUAGGAUGAGCUGGAGGCCUAUCAGCUUGUUGGUGGGGUAAUGGCCUACCAAGGCGGCGCCGGGUAGCCGGACUGAGAGGGUGGACGGCCACAUUGGGACUGGGAUACGGCACAGACCCCUACGGGCGGCAGCAGGGGGGAAGAGUGAACAAUGGGCGCAAGCCGGAUGCAGCGACGCCGCGUGGGGGAUGACGGCCUUCGGGUUGUAAACUCCUUUCGCUAGGGACGAAGCUUUUUGUGACGGUACCUAGAUAAGAAGCCCCGGCUAACUACGUG
Molecule: ribosomal RNA, 465 nt
Filed under: uncultured bacterium
Lineage: Bacteria
Description: partial 16S ribosomal RNA
Rfam family: Bacterial small subunit ribosomal RNA
Source: RNAcentral